Molecule: non-coding RNA, 1135 nt
Organism: Benincasa hispida (wax gourd)
Lineage: Eukaryota; Viridiplantae; Streptophyta; Magnoliopsida; Cucurbitales; Cucurbitaceae
Source: RefSeq, a predicted model, not a curated record
UUUCACCAUAAAAUGGUGUCGUUUUAAGUUCCAUGCAUGCAUGUAUUUAGUAACAGUCUAACUUAAGUCCUAAGGGGUUGGGUCGUUACAGUGAGAUAAAAAGGAUUUUUUUUUUUCCAAAUCAUGCAGUGCAAAUUUAUUCGAAUCAAUCUCACAAAAAUCACUAUCGAGUAAAAAUUAGUUUUACUAAACGAUAACUUUAGAGUCUAAACUAUCAAGUAUCGAGUUUACUAUAUGAUAGUUACUCGUUGCUACACUUUCAAGUAUCAAGUCUAUGCGAUAGACUUCUUCUUCUACACGAUCGUUUGAUCGCAUACUCGAUCGUUUACCUCCUCCAUUCCUCUAUCCAAAAUCAAACAAAGCCUAUAACUCCUGGAUUCUCACACUGAUAAUACCAAGGCAACUUUAUUGUGGUGUCGAGUUCUGUUCGAGAAUCGAGGAUCGAGUUAUACUCGCUGGUGAUCGAGGAUCUUCUAGUUGCUCCUUUAGGUCGAGUUCUGAUCGUUGCGCUCGAGUUCUUCUUUGCACGCAUUGGAAACUGAUCGAGGUAAAUACGUGAAGAAAAGUUCUUCAAAGUUCUCGGGUGUUUCAGAGAUAGAACGAGGUGUUCAGAGUGAAAUGGUGCUAAAACAGACCAAAUUAGAGUUUAAAUGCAUCAAGGGAGAAAGAAGGUUGAGAAAUUACAAAAUUGCCUUUAGGGAAGAGCAUAUGCGCUCAAAGGUAGAAGUCUUCAAUUCUGGGACAAUGGGAAAGCGUAACGUUUCAAACUUUUGUAGAGUGCGCCUAAUCAAUAUGCGCAGCACUGUGCUUCAUCAAGGGGGCCUUCCAGCCUCAUGCGCUACGACACUUUGUGCAGUAUUAUAAAAGGAUAUUUUGCCUGAUUUUUCAUUUUAUCACACUUUUUUUUUUCAUUUUUGCUCCUGUUUUCUUCUCCUCUCCAUUAUAAACACUUAGUCUUUUCCAUUUUAGUCAUUUUGGAGCUUAAUCUUUUGUAUUUUGAGGAUGAUUAGAGCUAAAGGUAACUCUUCUAGCUUGGGUUUGAUAGUUUUUCCUUUUCUUAGACUAAUUGUGAGACUUGUUCUCCAUUAUACAUUGUUUAAACUCUUGUUUAAGGAUUUCUACUCUGAAUUCUCUA